Molecule: ribosomal RNA, 432 nt
Filed under: uncultured bacterium
Lineage: Bacteria
Description: partial 16S ribosomal RNA
Rfam family: Bacterial small subunit ribosomal RNA
Source: RNAcentral
AACGAACGCUGGCGGCAUGCCUAACACAUGCAAGUCGAACGAGACCUUCGGGUCUAGUGGCGCACGGGUGCGUAACGCGUGGGAACCUGCCCUUAGGUUCGGAAUAACUCCCCGAAAGGGGUGCUAAUACCGGAUAAUGUCUUCGGAUCAAAGAUUUAUCGCCUUUGGAUGGGCCCGCGUUGGAUUAGCUAGUUGGUAGGGUAAAAGCCUACCAAGGCGACGAUCCAUAGCUGGUCUGAGAGGAUGAUCAGCCACACUGGGACUGAGACACGGCCCAGACUCCUACGGGAGGCAGCAGUGGGGAAUAUUGGACAAUGGGCGAAAGCCUGAUCCAGCAAUGCCGCGUGAGUGAUGAAGGCCUUAGGGUUGUAAAGCUCUUUUACCCGGGAUGAUAAUGACAGUACCGGGAGAAUAAGCUCCGGCUAACUCCGU